This 253-nucleotide ribosomal RNA is filed under the name uncultured bacterium. RNAcentral describes it as "partial 16S ribosomal RNA". It matches the Rfam family "Bacterial small subunit ribosomal RNA", at positions 524 to 776 of the family's 1533-position model. The record is from RNAcentral.
UACGUAGGGUGCAAGCGUUGUCCGGAAUCAUUGGCGUAAAGCGCGCGUAGGUGGUCAUGUAAGUCCGCUGUGAAAGUCAAAGGCUCAACCUUUGAAAGCCGGUGGAUACUGCAUGGACUAGAGUACGGAAGAGGCGAGUGGAAUUCCUGGUGUAGCGGUGGAAUGCGCAGAUAUCAGGAGGAACACCAAUAGCGAAGGCAGCUCGCUGGGACGUUACUGACACUGAGGCGCGAAAGCGUGGGGAGCGAACAGG